AACAAAAUGCCUGAAAAAAGGGCUAUUUUGAUAGAAUAGAUCAUGUAAAUUUACUUUUGUUA
RNAcentral lists this transfer RNA (62 nucleotides) under Staphylinidae sp. BMNH 1274674. RNAcentral's name for it is "tRNA-Ile". Lineage: Eukaryota; Metazoa; Arthropoda; Insecta; Coleoptera; Staphylinidae. The record is from RNAcentral.